This 28-nucleotide small RNA is filed under the name Bombyx mori (domestic silkworm). RNAcentral describes it as "ovarian small RNA-9895". Lineage: Eukaryota; Metazoa; Arthropoda; Insecta; Lepidoptera; Bombycidae. The record is from RNAcentral.
AAAAUCUGUGAAAGGGGAACACUGAUGA